Molecule: ribosomal RNA, 21 nt
Filed under: Sticta ciliata
Lineage: Eukaryota; Fungi; Ascomycota; Lecanoromycetes; Peltigerales; Lobariaceae
Description: partial 28S ribosomal RNA
Source: RNAcentral
GAGUACCCGCUGAACUUAAGC